AUUGAACGCUGGCGGCAUGCCCUACACAUGCAAGUCGAACGGCAGCACGGGUGCUUGCACCUGGUGGCGAGUGGCGAACGGGUGAGUAAUACAUCGGCACAUGUCCUGUAGUGGGGGAUAGCCCGGCGAAAGCCGGAUUAAUACCGCAUACGAUCUACAGAUGAAAGCGGGGGACCUUCGGGCCUCGCGCUAUAGGGUUGGCCGAUGGCUGAUUAGCUAGUUGGUGGGGUAAAGGCCUACCAAGGCGACGAUCAGUAGCUGGUCUGAGAGGACGACCAGCCACACUGGGACUGAGACACGGCCCAGACUCCUACGGGAGGCAGCAGUGGGGAAUUUUGGACAAUGGGCGAAAGCCUGAUCCAGCAAUGCCGCGUGUGUGAAGAAGGCCUUCGGGUUGUAAAGCACUUUUGUCCGGAAAGAAAUCCUUGGCCCUAAUACGGUCGGGGGAUGACGGUACCGGAAGAAUAAGCACCGGCUAACUACGUG
Molecule: ribosomal RNA, 486 nt
Filed under: uncultured bacterium
Lineage: Bacteria
Description: partial 16S ribosomal RNA
Rfam family: Bacterial small subunit ribosomal RNA
Source: RNAcentral